GGUGAUAGAAUCACACAAUUGAAUAAUUAGCGCACCUCCCGUUUCACCUGAGCAGAGACGUGACCCUUGGCGCAUAUGAAACACUCGGUGGGUGCUAGGGCCUCGUUGGGUGCAGGAUGCUACUUUUGUUGUGGUUGACAAGAUGAAACUUUGCUCCUACGUAUCCUUAUUAGGGACUCUUGGCUACGUAGUUCUUUGGAUAGAAAAAUGAUUCUUGGUUUGAUUGAUUUUAUUUCUUAAAAAAUCUAACAUUUAAAUUAUUUUAUUUAACGAGCGAAACAUAUCCCUUACGUUCGAUACCGCAUCUCAUAUUAAAAG
This 318-nucleotide long non-coding RNA is filed under the name Lupinus angustifolius (narrow-leaved blue lupine). RNAcentral describes it as "long non-coding RNA (LANG_LNC001550)". The record is from RNAcentral. Lineage: Eukaryota; Viridiplantae; Streptophyta; Magnoliopsida; Fabales; Fabaceae.